RNAcentral lists this ribosomal RNA (254 nucleotides) under uncultured bacterium. Its description in RNAcentral is "partial 16S ribosomal RNA". It matches the Rfam family "Bacterial small subunit ribosomal RNA", at positions 524 to 777 of the family's 1533-position model. The record is from RNAcentral.
UACGUAGGGGGCAAGCGUUGUCCGGAUUUAUUGGGCGUAAAGAGCGUGUAGGCGGCCUGACAGGUCUGCUGUGAAAACUCGAGGCUCAACCUCGAGAUGUCGGCGGAAACCGUCUGGCUAGAGUCCGGAAGAGGAGAGUGGAAUUCCUGGUGUAGCGGUGAAAUGCGCAGAUAUCAGGAAGAACACCUAUGGCGAAGGCAGCUCUCUGGGACGGUACUGACGCUGAGACGCGAAAGCGUGGGGAGCGAACAGGG